AGCGAACGCUGGCGGCAGGCUUAACACAUGCAAGUCGAGCGGGCGUAGCAAUACGUCAGCGGCAGACGGGUGAGUAACGCGUGGGAACGUACCUUUUGGUUCGGAACAACACAGGGAAACUUGUGCUAAUACCGGAUAAGCCCUUACGGGGAAAGAUUUAUCGCCGAAAGAUCGGCCCGCGUCUGAUUAGCUAGUUGGUGAGGUAACGGCUCACCAAGGCGACGAUCAGUAGCUGGUCUGAGAGGAUGAUCAGCCACAUUGGGACUGAGACACGGCCCAAACUCCUACGGGAGGCAGCAGUGGGGAAUAUUGGACAAUGGGCGCAAGCCUGAUCCAGCCAUGCCGCGUGAGUGAUGAAGGCCCUAGGGUUGUAAAGCUCUUUUGUGCGGGAAGAUAAUGACGGUACCGCAAGAAUAAGCCCCGGCUAACUUCGUGCCAGCAGCCGCGGU
RNAcentral lists this ribosomal RNA (449 nucleotides) under uncultured bacterium. RNAcentral's name for it is "bacterial SSU rRNA". It matches the Rfam family "Bacterial small subunit ribosomal RNA", at positions 29 to 521 of the family's 1533-position model. The record is from RNAcentral.